ACACGUAUGAAAGACAAGCCGAUAGACUUUUCUCAAUAAUGUAAGUGGUGGUGCAUGGCCGUUCUUAGUUCGUGGAUUGAUUCGUCUGGUCUAUUCCGAUAACGAGCGAGACCCCAACGUUCCUAGUAGGGGCGGCAGCCAGACACCCGGCGAAAGCCGGGAUCGUUAGCAGCCGCCCAUCGCGACUUCUUAGACGUAUCAGGACCGAAGAGGUCCUUGAAAUGGGUUAAUAACAGGUCAGUCAUGCCCUUAGAUGUUCUGGGCCGCACGCGCGUUACAAUGGCAUGUAUAGAAAGUGCUUUACCAAAAGGGCAUCCCCGGGGCCUAACGGUCUCGGUAAUCCCUAGUCCCUGCCUUGACUGGGACAGACUUUUGAAACUAUUGGUCUCCAACGAGGAAUUUUUAGUAGGCGCGGGUCAUUAACCCGUGCCGA
RNAcentral lists this ribosomal RNA (433 nucleotides) under Diderma rugosum. RNAcentral's name for it is "SSU rRNA". It matches the Rfam family "Eukaryotic small subunit ribosomal RNA", at positions 1230 to 1644 of the family's 1831-position model. Lineage: Eukaryota; Evosea; Eumycetozoa; Physariida; Didymiaceae. The record is from RNAcentral.